RNAcentral lists this ribosomal RNA (671 nucleotides) under Irpex flavus. Its description in RNAcentral is "eukaryotic LSU rRNA". The stretch from base 257 to 410 matches the Rfam family "5.8S ribosomal RNA". Lineage: Eukaryota; Fungi; Basidiomycota; Agaricomycetes; Polyporales; Irpicaceae. The record is from RNAcentral.
GAGGAAGUAAAAGUCGUAACAAGGUUUCCGUAGGUGAACCUGCGGAAGGAUCAUUAUCGAGUUUUGAACGGGUUGUAGCUGACCUCUUUUUGGGGUAUGUGCACGCCUGGCUCAUCCACUCUCAACCUCUGUGCACUUCAUGUAAGAGAACGGUGUAAGCUGAUUUUGUAAAGAAGUCAGUGACAAGCCUUCUCUUGCGUUUUACCACAAACACUUCAGUUAUAGAAUGUUUACUGUGUGUAACACAAUUAUAUACAACUUUCAGCAACGGAUCUCUUGGCUCUCGCAUCGAUGAAGAACGCAGCGAAAUGCGAUAAGUAAUGUGAAUUGCAGAAUUCAGUGAAUCAUCGAAUCUUUGAACGCACCUUGCACUCCUUGGUAUUCCGAGGAGUAUGCCUGUUUGAGUCUCAUGGUAUUCUCAACCCCUAAAUUUUUCUAGUGAAGAUUUGGUGGGCUUGGACUUGGAGGUUGUGUUGGCUCUCGCUAGUCGACUCCUCUGAAAUACAUUAGUGUGAACCUUACGGAUCGCCUUCAGUGUGAUAAUUAUCUGCGCUGUGGUGGUGAAGUAUUUAUUGUAUUCACGCUUCUAACCGUCUCUCCUUCGAGACAAAUACUUUGACAAUCUGAGCUCAAAUCAGGUAGGAUUACCCGCUGAACUUAAGCAUAUCAAU